Molecule: unclassified non-coding RNA, 391 nt
Filed under: Hevea brasiliensis (rubber tree)
Lineage: Eukaryota; Viridiplantae; Streptophyta; Magnoliopsida; Malpighiales; Euphorbiaceae
Source: RNAcentral
GUGGCUUUAGAUACUAAUGAUACUUGGGAAUUGGUGCAUUUACCCCCGGAUAAGAAAGCUAUUGGAUGUAAAUGGAUUUUUACAGUUAAAGUGAAUCUCAGUGGUACUGUGGCUCAUCUCAAGGCUUGCCUUAUUACUAAAGGAUAUGCUCAGACUUAUGGAACUGAUUACUUCGACACUUUCUCUCCUGUUGCUAAACUAGCUUCUGUUCGCUUGUUUGUUUCUUUUGCAGCUAGAUAUGAUUGGCCUUUACAUCAGUUAGAUAUAAAAAAUACUUUUCUUCAUGGUGAUAUCCAGGGAGAAGUUUAUAUGAAGCAACCACCGGGUUUUGUUGCUCAGGGGGAGUUAGGCAAAGUUUGCUAGCUCUGAAAAUCCCUUUAUGGCUUGAAAC